Molecule: ribosomal RNA, 254 nt
Filed under: uncultured bacterium
Lineage: Bacteria
Description: partial 16S ribosomal RNA
Rfam family: Bacterial small subunit ribosomal RNA
Source: RNAcentral
UACGUAGGGUGCGAGCGUUAAUCGGAAUUACUGGGCGUAAAGCGUGCGCAGGCGGUCUGUUAAGACCGAUGUGAAAUCCCCGGGCUUAACCUGGGAACUGCAUUGGUGACUGGCAGGCUUUGAGUGUGGCAGAGGGAGGUAGAAUUCCACGUGUAGCAGUGAAAUGCGUAGAUAUCUGGAGGAACACCGGUGGCGAAGGCGGCAUCCUGGACCAACACUGACACUGAUGAGCGAAAGCCAGGGGAGCAAACGGG